CGGGGUGUAGCGCAGUCCGGUUAGCGCACCUGGUUUGGGACCAGGGGGUCGGAGGUUCGAAUCCUCUCACCCCGACCA
Molecule: transfer RNA, 78 nt
Filed under: Candidatus Hydrogenedentota bacterium
Lineage: Bacteria; Pseudomonadati; Candidatus Hydrogenedentota
Also listed under: 2 other names
Description: tRNA-Pro
Rfam family: tRNA
About the family: Transfer RNA (tRNA) molecules are approximately 80 nucleotides in length.
Source: RNAcentral